RNAcentral lists this ribosomal RNA (449 nucleotides) under uncultured prokaryote. RNAcentral describes it as "bacterial SSU rRNA". It matches the Rfam family "Bacterial small subunit ribosomal RNA", at positions 355 to 796 of the family's 1533-position model. The record is from RNAcentral.
UGGGGAAUAUUGCACAAUGGGGGGAACCCUGAUGCAGCCAUGCCGCGUGUGUGAAGAAGGCCUUAGGGUUGUAAAGCACUUUCAGUUGUGAGGAAAGGUUUGAGGUUAAUACCCUUAAGCUGUGACGUUAGCAACAGAAGAAGCACCGGCUAACUCCGUGCCAGCAGCCGCGGUAAUACGGAGGGUGCGAGCGUUAAUCGGAAUUACUGGGCGUAAAGCGCACGCAGGCGGUUGUAUAAGCCAGAUGUGAAAGCCCCGGGCUUAACCUGGGACGGUCAUUUGGAACUGUACAACUAGAGUCUUGGAGAGGGGAGUGGAAUUCCAGGUGUAGCGGUGAAAUGCGUAGAUAUCUGGAGGAACAUCAGUGGCGAAGGCGACUCCCUGGCCAAAGACUGACGCUCAUGUGCGAAAGUGUGGGUAGCGAACAGGAUUAGAUACCCCCGUAGUCC